RNAcentral lists this ribosomal RNA (459 nucleotides) under uncultured bacterium. RNAcentral's name for it is "partial 16S ribosomal RNA". It matches the Rfam family "Bacterial small subunit ribosomal RNA", at positions 338 to 795 of the family's 1533-position model. The record is from RNAcentral.
CCUACGGGAGGCAGCAGUGAGGAAUAUUGGUCAAUGGGCGCGAGCCUGAACCAGCCAAGUCGCGUGAGGGAAGACGGUCCUAUGGAUUGUAAACCUCUUUUGUCGGGGAGCAAAAGCCGCCACGCGUGGCGUUCCGAGAGUAACCGAAGAAAAAGCAUCGGCUAACGCCCGGCCAGCAGCCGCGGUAAUACGGAGGAUGCGAGCGUUAUCCGGAUUUAGUGGGUUUAAAGGGUGGGCAGGCGGAAGAGCAAGUGAGCGGUAAAAUUGAGGGGCUCAACCUCUUCGAGCCGUUGAAACUGGUGUUCUUGAGUGAGUGAGAAGUAUGCGGAAUGCGUGGUGUAGCGGUGAAAUGCAUAGAUAUCACGCAGAACUCCGAUUGCGAAGGCAGCAUACCGGCGCUCAACUGACGCUCAUGCACGAAAGUGUGGGUAUCGAACAGGAUUAGAUACCCGGGUAGUC